UAGCGGAGGAAAAGAAACCAACCGGGAUUGCCUUAGUAACGGCGAGUGAAGCGGCAAAAGCUCAAAUUUGAAAUCUGGUACCUUCGGUGCCCGAGUUGUAAUUUGGAGAGGGCAACUUUGGGGCCGUUCCUUGUCUAUGUUCCUUGGAACAGGACGUCAUAGAGGGUGAGAAUCCCGUGUGGCGAGGAGUGCGGUUCUUUGUAAAGUGCCUUCGAAGAGUCGAGUUGUUUGGGAAUGCAGCUCUAAGUGGGUGGUAAAUUCCAUCUAAAGCUAAAUAUUGGCGAGAGACCGAUAGCGAACAAGUACAGUGAUGGAAAGAUGAAAAGAACUUUGAAAAGAGAGUGAAAAAGUACGUGAAAUUGUUGAAAGGGAAGGGCAUUUGAUCAGACAUGGUGUUUUGUGCCCUCUGCUCCUUGUGGGUAGGGGAAUCUCGCAUUUCACUGGGCCAGCAUCAGUUUUGGUGGCAGGAUAAAUCCAUAGGAAUGUAGCUUGCCUCGGUAAGUAUUAUAGCCUGUGGGAAUACUGCCAGCUGGGACUGAGGACUGCGACGUAAGUCAAGGAUGCUGGCAUAAUGGUUAUAUGCCGCCCGUCUUGAAACAACGGACCA
RNAcentral lists this ribosomal RNA (607 nucleotides) under Saccharomyces cerevisiae (brewer's yeast). Its description in RNAcentral is "eukaryotic LSU rRNA". It matches the Rfam family "Eukaryotic large subunit ribosomal RNA", at positions 48 to 668 of the family's 3401-position model. Lineage: Eukaryota; Fungi; Ascomycota; Saccharomycetes; Saccharomycetales; Saccharomycetaceae. The record is from RNAcentral.